AUUGAACGCUGGCGGCAGGCCUAACACAUGCAAGUCGAGCGGAUGAAGGGAGCUUGCUCCUGGAUUCAGCGGCGGACGGGUGAGUAAUGCCUAGGAAUCUGCCUGGUAGUGGGGGAUAACGUCCGGAAACGGGCGCUAAUACCGCAUACGUCCUGAGGGAGAAAGUGGGGGAUCUUCGGACCUCACGCUAUCAGAUGAGCCUAGGUCGGAUUAGCUAGCUGGUGGGGUAAAGGCCUACCAAGGCGACGAUCCUUAACUGGUCUGAGAGGAUGAUCAGUCACACUGGAACUGAGACACGGUCCAGACUCCUACGGGAGGCAGCAUUGGGGAAUAUUGGACAAUGGGCGAAAGCCUGAUCCAGCCAUGCCGCGUGUGUGAAGAAGGUCUUCGGAUUGUAAAGCACUUUAAGUUGGGAGGAAGGGCAGUAAGUUAAUACCUUGCUGUUUUGACGUUACCAACAGAAUAAGCACCGGCUAACUUCGUG
RNAcentral lists this ribosomal RNA (484 nucleotides) under uncultured bacterium. Its description in RNAcentral is "partial 16S ribosomal RNA". It matches the Rfam family "Bacterial small subunit ribosomal RNA", at positions 30 to 507 of the family's 1533-position model. The record is from RNAcentral.